GACGAACGCUGGCGGCGCGCCUAACACAUGCAAGUCGAACGAGCGAGAGAGAGCUUGCUUUCUCGAGCGAGUGGCGAACGGGUGAGUAACGCGUGAGGAACCUGCCUCAAAGAGGGGGACAACAGUUGGAAACGACUGCUAAUACCGCAUAAUGUGUUUUGGGGGCGAUCCCUGAAACACCAAAGAUUUAUCGCUGAAAGAUGGGCUCGCGUCUGAUUAGCUAGUUGGUGGGGUAACGGCCUACCAAGGCGACGAUCAGUAGCCGGACUGAGAGGUUGAACGGCCACAUUGGGACUGAGAUACGGCCCAG
RNAcentral lists this ribosomal RNA (310 nucleotides) under uncultured bacterium. RNAcentral describes it as "bacterial SSU rRNA". It matches the Rfam family "Bacterial small subunit ribosomal RNA", at positions 28 to 334 of the family's 1533-position model. The record is from RNAcentral.